Molecule: ribosomal RNA, 400 nt
Filed under: uncultured bacterium
Lineage: Bacteria
Description: bacterial SSU rRNA
Rfam family: Bacterial small subunit ribosomal RNA
Source: RNAcentral
UGGGGAAUUUUCCGCAAUGGGCGAAAGCCUGACGGAGCAAUACCGCGUGAGGGAGGAAGGCUCUUGGGUUGUAAACCUCUUUUCUCAGGGAAGAAAAAAAUGACGGUACCUGAGGAAUAAGCAUCGGCUAACUCCGUGCCAGCAGCCGCGGUAAUACGGAGGAUGCAAGCGUUAUCCGGAAUGAUUGGGCGUAAAGGGUCCGCAGGUGGCAUUGUAAGUCUGCUGUUAAAGAGUCUAGCUCAACUAGAUAAAAGCAGUGGAAACUACAAAGCUAGAGUUUGGUCGGGGCAGAAGGAAUUCCUGGUGUAGCGGUGAAAUGCGUAGAUAUCAGGAAGAACACCAGUGGCGAAGGCGUUCUGCUAGGCCGAGACUGACACUGAGGGACGAAAGCUAGGGGAGC